Catharus ustulatus (Swainson's thrush) is the source of this 1802-nucleotide long non-coding RNA. RefSeq lists it as uncharacterized. The record is from RefSeq and is a predicted model, not a curated record. The transcript has 4 exons. Lineage: Eukaryota; Metazoa; Chordata; Aves; Passeriformes; Turdidae.
AUUUUCUCUCAUGAGGAAAGAAAUGUAUGGAUGGCUCAUUGUGAAUGAAAAAGAAACCAGAAAGACGAUUCUGGCAAGUGAUCCAUUCACUGCUAUCCCAAUUGAUGACAGAGAUUUCCUGCCACUACUUCCUCUUGUACUGAGUGCCUUUUGCCCAAUAUGGAACUGCUGGAAUCCAUGGGAUGUCAGGAACAGUAGACACUCUAGUAUUCGUCUGGUGACAAGAAAUGGCUAGAGAGUUGAUAAAAUGAAGAGAUAUUCCUUUACUGGAGACAUUUUCUCUUCUUUAAAGAAGAGGACUGCAAACCUUUCCCGCAGUACACCCUGGCUCACUUCCUGCCCUUGGAAAAGGUUGUUUCAAUACCUGUGAACAUGUGCAUUACAAGAGACACACUUAGACUUGCUCCUUCCUGUAUCGAAAACUGAGCUCUGAAUAUUUCUCUGGGAACCUCAAGCAUGGAAAAUUAGCGCAUUGAACAGAGAAUGCUUUCCUACCCCUGAAAGAAAAACAGAAUUGACUGAGGCAGCACCACGGUUACAGGCUGAGGACCAGAUCCAUAUGGUUCAGAAGUGAAAGAGAGAAAUGAAACCAAAGCCUCCUACUGCAAAUUUCGUCCUACCUCUCUUCUCCUUUUCCUGUACCAAACUGUAUUGUCUUAAUCUGAGAAUGUGAUUUAUUUGUGAAAUAUCUAGUGGGUGGCAGAGGUGGGGAGCAAAGCUGCACAAAGCUCCCCAGAGCUGCUGACCGAGGUAAAUAGUGUGUCAUAACACAUUUAUCAAAUAAUAAUGGAAACCGUAUAGAACAUGUAGGAGAGGGAGGGGGAAACCCCAUUCCCCACUGGGAAGUUACUGAAUAUUUUAGCCAGUUUAUAAAAGUAUGUGUACAUGUGUUUGGGAGGGGGGAGGUUUUUCUAGUUUCACCUCUGCAAAUAAAUCAUUGGCGUGGGAUGUCUGAGCAGACAAGUGAAAUGGAUGAGCGCAUUAUGGAUCAAGGAGGUGGUAUUCCUGCCUUGGUUAGCUUGAGACAGACCACCCAAGCACUGUGGGUCUGAGAUGAGACUGUAAGUAGUGCUUGUAGAGUUCUGAAAGGCCCAUACUGCAGCCUCUGACAUGGUAUAAAGGUGGGGAAUAAAAUAAAAGUGGUGGUAUUUUCCAUAUAGCAGGCAUGACUUGUCUGAAUUGAUGAUGUUCCUAAUGUUUUUUUUCCUUUGGCUGGAUUGCUGCUAUAGAUAAAAUGAAAAAGAGAUAAUAUGACAAAGGUGUAAUAGUUAUGCCUAAAAUAAAGUUAAGGUUAAAAAAAAUGAAAAAAGAAAAAUUUAAUUAUUAUGUAUUUGUACAGUAUUCACUGUUUGCCACUAGGGACUUUCAGAAUACAGAAGCCAUAGUCAGAUGCUCUCACUGAAAUUAAGAAUCUUGCAUCAUAAUUGGUCUAUCAACAAUUACUUAUGGAAAAAGACCCCCCUUCCAUGUAAACAGGGCUAACAUGGAUGAGUAUUACCGAAAAAUACCCAGGUUAAAAGGAGCCUGGCAAAGACAGUAUCCUUAUAAAUAUAUAUGUAUAGUUAAAAAUUUGGAAUUUUUGCAAGGAAGACAUAGUUUUGAGUUUUGGAACAAUCGUCUUUAACAGGGAAACAUCUUGGAGUGCAACUGAACAUCUUUUUAUAUUUAUACAUGGCAAUCCUGAUUGAAGGCUCAUCAGUCAACAUACAGUAAUGAAUUAGAUGAAUUUUGGGUUGUAAGGAAGCAAAAUAGGAAACAUAGAAAGUUAUUCCUGGAAAAUGAUCCUCUUUUUAUUUUUCUAA